UACGUAGGGGGCGAGCGUUGUCCGGAUUUAUUGGGCGUAAAGAGCGUGUAGGCGGCCAGGUAGGUCUGCUGUGAAAACUCGAGGCUCAACCUCGAGACGUCGGCGGAAACCAUCUGGCUAGAGUCCGGAAGAGGAGAGUGGAAUUCCUGGUGUAGCGGUGGAAUGCGCAGAUAUCAGGAAGAACACCGACGGCGAAGGCAGCUCGCUGGGACGGUACUGACGCUGAGGCGCGAAAGCGUGGGGAGCGAACAGG
This 253-nucleotide ribosomal RNA is filed under the name uncultured bacterium. RNAcentral describes it as "partial 16S ribosomal RNA". It matches the Rfam family "Bacterial small subunit ribosomal RNA", at positions 524 to 776 of the family's 1533-position model. The record is from RNAcentral.